UACGUAGGUGGCAAGCGUUGUCCGGAUUUAUUGGGCGUAAAGCGAGCGCAGGUGGUUUAUUAAGUCUGGUGUAAAAGGCAGUGGCUCAACCAUUGUAUGCAUUGGAAACUGGUAGACUUGAGUGCAGGAGAGGAGAAUGGAAUUCUAUGUGUAGCGGUGAAAUGCGUAGAUAUAUGGAGGAACACCGGUGGCGAAAGCGGCUCUCUGGCCUGUAACUGACACUGAGGCUCGAAAGCGUGGGGAGCAAACAGG
RNAcentral lists this ribosomal RNA (252 nucleotides) under uncultured bacterium. RNAcentral's name for it is "partial 16S ribosomal RNA". It matches the Rfam family "Bacterial small subunit ribosomal RNA", at positions 524 to 776 of the family's 1533-position model. The record is from RNAcentral.